AGACAGCAGUAGCCGCGGUAAUACGUAUGUCACAAGCGUUAUCCGGAUUUAUUGGGCGUAAAGCGCGUCUAGGUGGUUAUGUAAGUCUGAUGUGAAAAUGCAGGGCUCAACUCUGUAUUGCGUUGGAAACUGUGUAACUAGAGUACUGGAGAGGUAAGCGGAACUACAAGUGUAGAGGUGAAAUUCGUAGAUAUUUGUAGGAACGCCGAUGGGGAAGCCAGCUUACUGGACAGAUACUGACGCUAAAGCGCGAAAGCGUGGGUAGCAAACAGGAUUAGAUACCCCAGUAGUCCCUGUCUCUUAUACA
This 307-nucleotide ribosomal RNA is filed under the name uncultured bacterium. RNAcentral describes it as "partial 16S ribosomal RNA". It matches the Rfam family "Bacterial small subunit ribosomal RNA", at positions 506 to 808 of the family's 1533-position model. The record is from RNAcentral.